This 500-nucleotide ribosomal RNA is filed under the name uncultured bacterium. Its description in RNAcentral is "partial 16S ribosomal RNA". It matches the Rfam family "Bacterial small subunit ribosomal RNA", at positions 30 to 523 of the family's 1533-position model. The record is from RNAcentral.
AUUGAACGCUGGCGGAAUGCUUUACACAUGCAAGUCGAACGGCAGCACGGGGGCAACCCUGGUGGCGAGUGGCGAACGGGUGAGUAAUGUAUCGGAACGUGCCCAGUCGUGGGGGAUAACGUAGUGAAAAUUACGCUAAUACCGCAUACGAUCUAAGGAUGAAAGCGGGGGAUCGCAAGACCUCGCGCGAUUGGAACGGCCGAUAUCAGAUUAGGUAGUUGGUGGGGUAAAGGCUCACCAAGCCAACGAUCUGUAGCUGGUCUGAGAGGACGACCAGCCACACUGGAACUGAGACACGGUCCAGACUCCUACGGGAGGCAGCAGUGGGGAAUUUUGGACAAUGGACGCAAGUCUGAUCCAGCCAUUCCGCGUGCAGGAUGAAGGCCCUCGGGUUGUAAACUGCUUCUGUACGGAACGAAAAGGUCUCUCUUAAUACGGGGGACUCAUGACGGUACCGUAAGAAUAAGCACCGGCUAACUACGUGCCAGCAGCCGCCGUAA